Molecule: long non-coding RNA, 359 nt
Filed under: Notechis scutatus (mainland tiger snake)
Lineage: Eukaryota; Metazoa; Chordata; Lepidosauria; Squamata; Elapidae
Description: lncRNA (ENSNSUG00000000333.1)
Source: RNAcentral
GAUCUAAUUUUGUAUAAAAUAAUUUCAUAUGUAUUUUAAUCUUUCCUGCAGAAUAUUCAACUGAAGAAAAAUUGAAGUAUAAAUUUUGCAAACAUUAUGUGGAGAUUGGACACCUUACAGGGGACCUGAAGCCUAUGACAUUCUGGCACAUGGACUGUCAUGAUCAAGAGAAAUCUGGAGAAAUUCAGGCAAUAACAAUUUUACAGUUUUUGAGAUGGAUUGUGAACAUGGGUUUAAAGCCUUAGGAAAUGUAGUUGUUAAAGGCUCUAACCAGCUUCCUGGUCUGCAUAAUUACAGGUAAGCCUGGAUGUCAACUUUCUUUUUUUAAUGAUUGUUUUUUUAAUUAAAAUAUUUUAAUG